Molecule: ribosomal RNA, 422 nt
Filed under: uncultured bacterium
Lineage: Bacteria
Description: bacterial SSU rRNA
Rfam family: Bacterial small subunit ribosomal RNA
Source: RNAcentral
CGCGUGAGUGAAGAAGGCUUCGGGUUGUAAAGCUCUUUCGGCGGGGAAGAAAUGGCAACGGCUAAUAUCCGUUGUUGAUGACGGUACCCGCAUAAGAAGCACCGGCUAACUACGUGCCAGCAGCCGCGGUAAUACGUAGGGUGCGAGCGUUAAUCGGAAUUACUGGGCGUAAAGCGUGCGCAGGCGGUUUCGUAAGACAGACGUGAAAUCCCCGGGCUCAACCUGGGAACUGCGUUUGUGACUGCGAGGCUAGAGUACGGCAGAGGGGGGUAGAAUUCCACGUGUAGCAGUGAAAUGCGUAGAGAUGUGGAGGAAUACCGAUGGCGAAGGCAGCCCCCUGGGUUAGUACUGACGCUCAUGCACGAAAGCGUGGGGAGCAAACAGGAUUAGAUACCCUGGUAUCCACGCCCUAAACGAUGUCA